AAAGAGAGGGAUUCGAC
RNAcentral lists this transfer RNA (17 nucleotides) under Cladopodanthus speciosus. RNAcentral describes it as "partial tRNA-Ser". Lineage: Eukaryota; Viridiplantae; Streptophyta; Bryopsida; Dicranales; Leucobryaceae. The record is from RNAcentral.